CCUCUUUCGCUCAUGGUCAAGCCGCAACAGUGGUUGUGGUGAGGGUAGUGGGUAAAGAAGCACCGGCUAACUACGUGCCAGCAGCCGCGGUAAUACGUAGGGUGCGAGCGUUGUCCGGAAUUAUUGGGCGUAAAGGGCUUGUAGGCGGUUUGUCGCGUCUGCCGUGAAAUCCUCUGGCUUAACUGGGGGCGUGCGGUGGGUACGGGCAGGCUUGAGUGCGGUAGGGGAGACUGGAACUCCUGGUGUAGCGGUGGAAUGCGCAGAUAUCAGGAAGAACACCGGUGGCGAAGGCGGGUCUCUGGGCCGUUACUGACGCUGAGGAGCGAAAGCGUGGGGAGCGAACAGGAUUAGAUACCCUGGUAGUCCACGCUGUAAACGUUGGGCACUAGGUGUGGGGGCCACCCGUGGUUUCUGCGCCGUAGCUAACGCUUUAAGUGCCCCGCCUGGGGAGUACGGCCGCAAGGCUAAAACUCAAAGGAAUUGACGGGGGCCCGCACAAGCGGCGGAGCAUGCGGAUUAAUUCGAUGCAACGCGAAGAACCUUACCAAGGCUUGACAUGCACGGCGGCACUGCAGAGAUGUGGUGGCAUUUAGUUGGUCGUGUGCAGGUGGUGCAUGGUUGUCGUCAGCUCGUGUCGUGAGAUGUUGGGUUAAGUCCCGCAACGAGCGCAACCCUUGCCCUAUGUUGCCAGCACGUUAUGGUGGGGACUCGUGGGGGACUGCCGGGGUUAACUCGGAGGAAGGUGGGGAUGACGUCAAAUCAUCAUGCCCCUUAUGUCUUGGGCUUCACGCAUGCUACAAUGGCUGGUACAGAGGGUUGCGAUACUGUGAGGUGGAGCGAAUCCCUUAAAGCCAGUCUCAGUUCGGAUUGGGGUCUGCAACUCGACCCCAUGAAGGUGGAGUCGCUAGUAAUCGCAGAUCAGCAACGCUGCGGUGAAUACGUUCUCGGGCCUUGUACACACCGCCCGUCACGUCACGAAAGUUGGUAACACCCGAAGCCCAUGGCCUAACCGCUUUUGCGGGGGGAGUGGUCGAAGGUGGGAUUGGCGAUUGGGACGAAGUCGUAACAAGGUAGCCGUACCGGAAGGUGCGGCUGGAUCACCU
Molecule: ribosomal RNA, 1103 nt
Filed under: Actinomyces sp. oral taxon 181 str. F0379
Lineage: Bacteria; Bacillati; Actinomycetota; Actinomycetes; Actinomycetales; Actinomycetaceae
Description: bacterial SSU rRNA
Rfam family: Bacterial small subunit ribosomal RNA
Source: RNAcentral